GUCUAUGGCUAUGCUUCCCUGAACAAGCCCGAUCCCAUCUGAUCUUGGAAGCUAAGCAGGGUCAGGUUUGGUUAGCACUUGGAUGGGAGACCACCUAGGAAGACUAGGUGCUGUAGGUG
Pteropus alecto (black flying fox) is the source of this 119-nucleotide non-coding RNA. The record is from Rfam. NCBI's taxonomy places the organism in Eukaryota, Metazoa, Chordata, Mammalia, Chiroptera, Pteropodidae.